This 292-nucleotide ribosomal RNA is filed under the name uncultured microorganism. Its description in RNAcentral is "partial 16S ribosomal RNA". It matches the Rfam family "Bacterial small subunit ribosomal RNA", at positions 505 to 796 of the family's 1533-position model. The record is from RNAcentral.
GUGCCAGCAGCCGCGGUAAUACGAAGGGUGCAAGCGUUAAUCGGAAUUACUGGGCGUAAAGCGCACGCAGGCGGUCUGUCAAGUCGGAUGUGAAAUCCCCGGGCUCAACCUGGGAACUGCAUUCGAAACUGGCAGGCUAGAGUCUUGUAGAGGGGGGUAGAAUUCCAGGUGUAGCGGUGAAAUGCGUAGAGAUCUGGAGGAAUACCGGUGGCGAAGGCGGCCCCCUGGACAAAGACUGACGCUCAGGCGCGAAAGCGUGGGGAGCAAACAGGAUUAGAUACCCUGGUAGUCC